UCGAAUCCGUUGGGGUGCCCCGCUGGGGGCUGAGAGGCGCGAGCCGACCCAUCGAACCUGAUCCGGUUAGCACCGGCGGAGGGAACGGAGACGCGACCCGA
RNAcentral lists this non-coding RNA (101 nucleotides) under Limimaricola soesokkakensis. RNAcentral's name for it is "Loktanella soesokkakensis TPP sequence". It matches the Rfam family "TPP riboswitch aptamer (THI element)". From Rfam's summary of the family: Vitamin B(1) in its active form thiamin pyrophosphate (TPP) is an essential coenzyme that is synthesised by coupling of pyrimidine and thiazole moieties in bacteria. The previously detected thiamin-regulatory element, thi box was extended, resulting in a new, highly conserved RNA secondary structure, the THI element, which is widely distributed in eubacteria and also occurs in some archaea. Lineage: Bacteria; Pseudomonadati; Pseudomonadota; Alphaproteobacteria; Rhodobacterales; Paracoccaceae. The record is from RNAcentral.